RNAcentral lists this transfer RNA (64 nucleotides) under Gyraulus sp. GE1. RNAcentral describes it as "tRNA-Asn". Lineage: Eukaryota; Metazoa; Mollusca; Gastropoda; Planorbidae. The record is from RNAcentral.
UAAAUUGUAGCAUAAAUAAAUGCAUUUAACUGUUAAUUAAAAGACUUUAGUAAUAACAAUUUAA